GAUGAACGCUGGCGGCGUGCCUAAUACAUGCAAGUCGAGCGAACGGACGAGAAGCUUGCUUCUCUGAUGUUAGCGGCGGACGGGUGAGUAACACGUGGAUAACCUACCUAUAAGACUGGGAUAACUUCGGGAAACCGGAGCUAAUACCGGAUAAUAUUUUGAACCGCAUGGUUCAAAAGUGAAAGACGGUCUUGCUGUCACUUAUAGAUGGAUCCGCGCUGCAUUAGCUAGUUGGUAAGGUAACGGCUUACCAAGGCAACGAUGCAUAGCCGACCUGAGAGGGUGAUCGGCCACACUGGAACUGAGACACGGUCCAGACUCCUACGGGAGGCAGCAGUAGGGAAUCUUCCGCAAUGGGCGAAAGCCUGACGGAGCAACGCCGCGUGAGUGAUGAAGGUCUUCGGAUCGUAAAACUCUGUUAUCAGGGAAGAACAUAUGUGUAAGUAACUGUGCACAUCUUGACGGUACCUAAUCAGAAAGCCACGGCUAACUACGUGCCAGCAGCCGCGGUAAUACGUAGGUGGCAAGCGUUAUCCGGAAUUAUUGGGCGUAAAGCGCGCGUAGGCGGUUUUUUAAGUCUGAUGUGAAAGCCCACGGCUCAACCGUGGAGGGUCAUUGGAAACUGGAAAACUUGAGUGCAGAAGAGGAAAGUGGAAUUCCAUGUGUAGCGGUGAAAUGCGCAGAGAUAUGGAGGAACACCAGUGGCGAAGGCGACUUUCUGGUCUGUAACUGACGCUGAUGUGCGAAAGCGUGGGGAUCAAACAGGAUUAGAUACCCUGGUAGUCCACGCCGUAAACGAUGAGUGCUAAGUGUUAGGGGGUUUCCGCCCCUUAGUGCUGCAGCUAACGCAUUAAGCACUCCGCCUGGGGAGUACGACCGCAAGGUUGAAACUCAAAGGAAUUGACGGGGACCCGCACAAGCGGUGGAGCAUGUGGUUUAAUUCGAAGCAACGCGAAGAACCUUACCAAAUCUUGACAUCCUUUGACAACUCUAGAGAUAGAGCUUUCCCCUUCGGGGGACAAAGUGACAGGUGGUGCAUGGUUGUCGUCAGCUCGUGUCGUGAGAUGUUGGGUUAAGUCCCGCAACGAGCGCAACCCUUAAGCUUAGUUGCUAUCAUUAAGUUGGGCACUCUAAGUUGACUGCCGGUGACAAACCGGAGGAAGGUGGGGAUGACGUCAAAUCAUCAUGCCCCUUAUGAUUUGGGCUACACACGUGCUACAAUGGACAAUACAAAGGGCAGCGAAACCGCGAGGUCAAGCAAAUCCCAUAAAGUUGUUCUCAGUUCGGAUUGUAGUCUGCAACUCGACUACAUGAAGCUGGAAUCGCUAGUAAUUGUAGAUCAGCAUGCUACGGUGAAUACGUUCCCGGGUCU
This 1372-nucleotide ribosomal RNA is filed under the name uncultured bacterium. RNAcentral describes it as "bacterial SSU rRNA". It matches the Rfam family "Bacterial small subunit ribosomal RNA", at positions 28 to 1381 of the family's 1533-position model. The record is from RNAcentral.